Molecule: ribosomal RNA, 428 nt
Filed under: uncultured bacterium
Lineage: Bacteria
Description: bacterial SSU rRNA
Rfam family: Bacterial small subunit ribosomal RNA
Source: RNAcentral
UGGGGAAUUUUGGACAAUGGGCGAAAGCCUGAUCCAGCAAUGCCGCGUGAGUGAAGAAGGCCCUUGGGUUGUAAAGCUCUUUCGGUCGGGAAGAAGGAGGAUUGGCUAAUAACUGGUCCGACAGACGGUACCGGCAUAAGAAGCACCGGCUAACUACGUGCCAGCAGCCGCGGUAAUACGUAGGGUGCGAGCGUUAAUCGGAAUGACUGGGCGUAAAGGGUGUGUAGGCGGUCUGUUAAGUCUGAUGUGAAAUCCCCGGGCUCAACCUGGGAACUGCGUUGGAAACUGGCAAACUAGAGUACGUAAGAGGGGGGUGGAAUUCCACGUGUAGCAGUGAAAUGCGUAGAGAUGUGGAGGAACACCGAUGGCGAAGGCAGCCCCCUGGGACGAUACUGACGCUGAGGCACGAAAGCGUGGGGAGCAAACAG